Molecule: transfer RNA, 68 nt
Filed under: Rana draytonii (California red-legged frog)
Lineage: Eukaryota; Metazoa; Chordata; Amphibia; Anura; Ranidae
Description: tRNA-Asp
Rfam family: tRNA
About the family: Transfer RNA (tRNA) molecules are approximately 80 nucleotides in length. Their secondary structure includes four short double-helical elements and three loops (D, anti-codon, and T loops).
Source: RNAcentral
GAGGGAUUAGUUAAAUAUAACACUGCCUUGUCAAGGCAGAAUUACUAGUUAAACUCUUGUAUCCCUCU